UGGAUGUGAUGACUGAUUAUCUGAGAAUUACUGAUGAAAUCUCUAGAAAAUUCCUCUAGAUAGUCAAGUUCUGAUCCAG
Notamacropus eugenii (tammar wallaby) is the source of this 79-nucleotide small nucleolar RNA. Ensembl annotates it as small nucleolar RNA, C/D box 20. Its record names the gene SNORD20. NCBI's taxonomy places the organism in Eukaryota, Metazoa, Chordata, Mammalia, Diprotodontia, Macropodidae. The record is from Ensembl.